Molecule: non-coding RNA, 45 nt
Organism: Schistosoma mattheei
Lineage: Eukaryota; Metazoa; Platyhelminthes; Trematoda; Strigeidida; Schistosomatidae
Source: Rfam
AUCUAGCUGACGAGCCUCAAAUAGGACAAAACCCGAGUCCUAGAU